CCUACGGGAGGCAGCAGUGCGGAAUAUUGGUCAAUGGACGAGAGUCUGAACCAGCCAAGUAGCGUGAAGGAUGACUGCCCUAUGGGUUGUAAACUUCUUUUAUAUGGGAAUAAAAUGUUCCACGUGUGGGAUUUUGUAUGUACCAUAUGAAUAAGGAUCGGCUAACUCCGUGCCAGCAGCCGCGGUAAUACGGAGGAUCCGAGCGUUAUCCGGCUUUAUUGGGUUUAAAGGGAGCGUAGGUGGAUUGUUAAGUCAGUUGUGAAAGUUUGCGGCUCAACCGUAAAAUUGCAGUUGAAACUGGCAGUCUUGAGUACAGUAGAGGUGGGCGGAAUUCGUGGUGUAGCGGUGAAAUGCUUAGAUAUCACGAAGAACUCCGAUUGCGAAGGCAGUUCACUGGACUGCAACUGACACUGAGGCUCGAAAGUGUGGGUAUCAAACAGGAUUAGAUACCCGAGUAGUC
RNAcentral lists this ribosomal RNA (460 nucleotides) under uncultured bacterium. Its description in RNAcentral is "partial 16S ribosomal RNA". It matches the Rfam family "Bacterial small subunit ribosomal RNA", at positions 338 to 795 of the family's 1533-position model. The record is from RNAcentral.